ACUUGUUUGACUAAUGGAAUAUGCUGGAAUAUACUUUAGAAAAUGAAACGGACCAAAGUGUUUGACAAAAGCAAAACUGAGGGACUCUUUACUAUAUUUUUCAAAAUAGAAGGAUGAAAGUGUUAAUAAUGGCAAAACAAAGAGACCAAAUAGUAAUUUACUCGUGAAACUUUCAUAAAUUUAUGAAAAUGGAAAGAACCUGCAUGGAAAUGGAAUAAGCACAUAACCACUAGUCCACCAACCAUAGCCAACUGUUGCCAACCUGUUGUUGGCCACCACAGUUGUGUAAUUUUCUUUUCCAGUGAACUGUAAAUGGAAAAAUAUGGAUUUUUUUUAAAUGUCGAAAGAUUCCAAAGUCUUUUACAUUUGGAAAAAAAAAAAAUUUUCCCCCCAGUAUACUCCAAACAUCAAAA
RNAcentral lists this unclassified non-coding RNA (413 nucleotides) under Hevea brasiliensis (rubber tree). Lineage: Eukaryota; Viridiplantae; Streptophyta; Magnoliopsida; Malpighiales; Euphorbiaceae. The record is from RNAcentral.